UGUAGCGAGCUAUCUGCAAUUAAUGGAACUAAGCGUUCUACAUAAGUGUAUGUAAACAGUAAAGAGGACGCCUGAUGGCAAGGAUGUAGCUAGCUAUUUUACCAGUCAGAGGCAGACUAAUUCACGUGCACGUACAGUAGUUAGUGUCGACAUUAGCAGGGUACUCUCUAUCUCAAUAUACGGAAUGCAAGCUAGGUAGCUAACGUUAGUUAAUCAGCAUCAAUCUAAAACAAUAACGUCUGAAAUCCUGUCUGGUGAAAGAUCCAUUAGCUAGGUUGUGAUUCUUACUGACAACGAACGGUCAUGUUUGCUGGAUUAUUUGAUUUCAAGAUAUUGUUUAGCUCGAACAACACGCUUGUGUAUUUGCCCUAGCACUACACAGCUGAUUCAAAUAAUCAAAGCUUGAUGAUGAGUUUUUUUAUUUUUAUAUAUUUUUUUAACUUUAUUUUACUAGGCAAGUCAGUUAUGAACAAAUUCUUAUUUUCAAUGACGGCCUGGGACCAGGGUUAACUGCCUGUUCAGGGGCAGAACGACAGGUUUUGUACCUUGUCAGCUCGGGGAUUUGAACUUGGAACAUUUCGGUUACUAGUCCAAUGUUCUAACCACUAGGCUACCCUUAUUUAAGUCAGUUGUGUAGUACUAGGGCAAAACAACUCAACGUGCACCCAGUGGAGGCUCCAGGACCGUAUUUGGGAAACCCUGACAUAGACGUAACACUUAUCGAAGAAAGUAAUAUUUUUGGGUUGGGGUUGGCAAGGGUGGUCCCUGUAGUGCCUGAUACCAGACCCAGUAUUGACACUUACUGGGAUGUAAACCAAGACACGUUUGAAAAAAUGUAACCCUUACAUAAACCCUGACCACACCAAAUAUAUAGCAAAAUAAGGCAUCGCCCAAACAGUAAACAUGCUCUCACAGUAGGCACUUGUGAGUCUUUUUCUUUGACAUUUUUCACUUGCAGAGACUGUUGUCUUGGAGACUUUAGAGCCCAAAUGUCCCCCAGGGCCUGGCUCAAUGAGAGGCAUGGACAGUGUGGUACUAGACUCUGAAUCAGAUGAGGAGAUAUCUGGGUCAUCCAUGAUGUUGUUGAGAGACCCAGCCCGUAAGAGGAGACUAGAGGUGUGUAACAGCUCCCAGGAGAGUGGGGCAUCCAACUCCAGCAAGAAACCAGCCCUCCAGGAAGAUUUAGUGGUGAGUCCACUAGGGCCAGGACAAUACCAAUAUCGCAAUACUCGUUGGUAUCGAGGCAAGGUAACAAAACACAAAUCAGAUUGAACUUCUUUAGGAAAACAGCCCUAAUGCUGGAAACACACAUCAUGUUGUAAUCCAGUGGCACAUUUGUGCGUUGGAAAAAAUAUUACAAUACUGGUCUCAUCCCGGUCCUAGAGUCCACAUGACUGCAGUCCAAUACCUCCUUCAGCCUCCAUGACACCCCCAAACCAGGGUGGGGGUGCAUACUCAGUUUACACCUGAUGUGUGAGUCAUCUGUGUUGAGCUAGAGAUUUACUGAAGUAAUUUGGCUAAAGUGCCGCGCUCAAGUGCACAAGAGCCCUGUGCCCCACCUGGAGUUUUGACCUUGAGGUUAGUGGUUUAUUUCCCUGACCAAGAUGAUAUACUGCCAUCUUGCUUGUUCAUUUGUUAUUUGUCAUCUCCAGUACAGAGGGGGUAGGCUUGCGUGGGGAGGAGCUCACACUCUAAUUGGCCUGUCUGCCUUCGGAAUUCACGCGCCAGUGUGUUUUUGUUCAACCAAACAGAUGUUUCUGAGGACGAGGGUCCAGAGCCCAGCUGGAAGAGCUGCAGACUAAGUUCCUUAUUCUACAGACUAAGGCUGUAGAAUCCCUCUCUACAGUGCCUGUGUUCUCUGUCACUGCAGUUCCACAACACAUUCAUCAAUAUCCUAAAUGUUGGCAAAUGUGAACCAAAAUUGUUUGAAAUGUGGGAGCUGCAUAUGAAUAAUUAUUUUGACAAAAAAUGUGUGCUUUUGGUUUACAACGGUGUCUAUUUGUCUUAUCUUGCAUGCACACAAGAGCUUAGAGAACCACUUCUGGAGCAUGGUAGACAUUUUGAGGAAAUCCUAUAAGCACUGUGCAAGUUUUCAGAGGAGGGUGAGAGUUUUGUGUUUCAUGGUGCAUGUGUAUAUGUCUGUUAUGUGUGCCUGUUUAUACAAAACAAAAACAUGUACAUUAUUGUUGUACAUUAUUAUUUAGGUAACUAGUUAAAUCAUUCGAUGUCUUGUAGCCCUAUAGUUUCAUGUGUUAAAAGAAUAGCAUCAAUUUGAUUUAUUUGAGAAAAAAAGUAUUUGAGGCAAUAGGUAGCCCAAAUUCCCUCCCAGGUCCUGUAGACGGAUUAUUUUUCCUUCCUUAGAGAGGUCCAGUCAAGAGGACACCCAGGCAUCAUCAUCAGCUAGUUUUCCCCCCUAAACCUCAGCAUGCCAGGCAGCCCAAGCAGCCAAACUCCCUGGUCAUCCCCCAUCACUACCUCACAAGCCUACCAAUGGGAGCAUAAUUAAGACCUUCAAUAGGCUGCCCGAAGGAGCAGACAAAAGGAGGAAGGUGAUUCCAGAUCCAGGCACCAGCUCUGAGGACGAGGCCAGUGAUGACUUUGAUGUGUCUGCUGAGGGCAUGGAGAUGGAACUUGGAUGCCUCGGGCUCAGAUCAGGAGGUUGGAACAGGGUCUAAUGUGAAGGGCCAGAUCCUCUGGUUUUUCCAGGAGGCAUCGCCGGUUGAGCUGUCUCAUCUCUGGCUGCUCUGUGAAGAAGGCCCAGAAGAUUGUCGAGCUUCGCCUAUUUAACAGGUGGGAGAAUCUGGUGGCUGUUCUCGACGGAGGGAACGGCCUCUCCACUGACCUGGUGCAGGGCUAUUGUGUGGUCCUGAGGGAACAGGACGUGGCGCGCAGCCUCUUGACCAAGUGUGAGAACAUCACCAACAAGAUGAUGCAGGACGUGACUCAAGCGGUGGAGAGGGACAAGGGCUUCCAGAAACAGCCUGAGAUCUUCAACAGCAAGGUUUGGGGGAAGACCAUCCAGGCCAUCUCGUUCCUGUUUCCUUGUUAAAGCAAGGAACAACAAUUGUAAAGAAUCCACGUUACCAUGGAAACAGAGUCAACUGCACAAAUGCCCGGCUGUCCCGUCUUCAAUCAGCUGUUAGUUCGGUCUUGCUUCUCUGGUGUACUAUGGUGAGUGACUCAUUUGUUCAUUCUGAGUGGUGGGACACAUCAUGUCGCCAUCAUGGUUAAGGAUUAACAUUGAUUUGAUUAUACAGAUUUCAACCUGUUGGUUUAAGUCACCAGAAGUGAAAGGAUUCCCAAAUAUAGAUUCAGUUUAGAUUGUCCUAUUUAUAUUGUGUGUGUGUGUGUGUGUAUAUGGUCUGUGGAGGAUGGCAGGUUCUUUCGAUAUGAUAUUCUCAACAAAUGGGUCGACUACAACAUAAUAAUUUCCCGUAAGUCCAAAAUUGAAGAAUGACGGUUAUGUAAGAAUGACUAUACACAGAAGUACACUCGAGUCUAUUAGACUACAGGUUCACAUCACUGUGUUAGCUAACUGCUGGGUGUCUUCUGAGCGAGACACUUAGCCUAAGUGCCUCUUGAAAUAUCCAGGGGAAUUAGUGGAGAUCUUGUAAAACCAUCAGCCGUGUAAGUCACCCCAGCCAGGUUUCUGCUAACACUCCAAUAAUGAUAAUAUAUUCAGCGUUUGACUGAACCUGAAAAGGUCUUUGUAAGCUGAACCUGUGACUCAUUCAUUAUUCAUGGUAGUCAAGUGGUUGCCAUGCCUCACAGACUACUUGUGGGAACCUUGUGUGGCUCCUUGAGCUGCCGUGUGUCUGCUGCCAGCUACGCUCUGACUAUCUCCAAAUGACCGCAGCCUGUCCCGAAAGCUCAGAACGCCGAGCAUGAGCUGAAGAACAUAAGCUUCGCUGCUCUACUGCCACCUCUUGGCCAUCAACAUCAGUUCAUUGCUAGAGGCACCGGGAGAGGGAGGGCUUUCAUUGGUCAUCUUGGUUGAAACAGCAGAGAGGAAGAGGUGAAGUGAUAGGUUUUACUCUGCCCAAAAUCUGUCCACGAAAAUAAACCCACAAAGUGAGGAAUUUUUGUAUGGGGGUCAAUGAGAGAGUGUCGAAACUGGUCAACAAAACAUUGAAUUGCUAAUUUGCUCCAUGAGGCUUAUUUGAUUGAAUAGAAGUUUCAUAAUGGUUAGGUUGUUACGAAUGCACUGAUGAGAGAGAGAUAUAAUAUGUUUUGGCAUUGAGGGCUUCCACUAUCUUAAAAUAGUCAACUGGGUGGGGAUUCCUAUGAGUUGGGAGCAAUCAGCCAAUGAAGAAGAAGGAAAUGUACUAUUUUAAAAUGGAGAUAGCCUCAACUUCUAAAAUCUUAACAACUUGGACAUGCUCACAUUUCCUGAUUUCCUUGUCCCAAAUGUUUCAUUCCGUCCAUCCUGAGCCCCAGGACGUGGGUGCUCACAAUGCACAAUGAUUCCCCAGUUGAUCCUGCCAUGCUUUUCUCCGUUGUCAUAGGGGGGGAAAUGCUGACGUAAUUUAAGAUUUUAGAAGUUGUCUAGUGUAUGACAAACAUUCUGGGUCACGAGUGACAAGAAGCAGCAGCUCUACAACACCUUGAUGCAGAAGCUGUAGGGAUCCACCAAUGGAGAGAGUAUGUUAGGGAGAGGAAUAAUGAGAGAAAGUUAUCUUGGUCAUUUGAAAAGUGAUAAUAUACUUAAGGGAAUACUAAAAAGCCAAACAAGUUUAAUUUUAAGAUGCACAGAUUAACUGAUUUCAGACCAUAGCAUGUGUCCAUGUGUCUUCAGAGAGAGAACUGACCAAUGGGAUGAUACUCAUCUUCUGCACAUGUAUCACUCCAGUGUUUAAUUGCUAUAUUGUAAUUAUUUUGCCACUAUGGCCUAUUCAUUGCCUUACCUCCCUUAUCCUACCUCAUUUGCACACACUGUAUAUAGACUUUUUCUAUUGAAUUAUUGACUGUAUGUUUGUUUAUUCCAUGUGUAACUCUGUGUUGUUUGUGUCACACUGCUUUGCUUUAUCUUGGCCAGGUCGCAGUUGUAAAUGAGAACUUGUUCUCAACUGGCCUACCUGGUUAAAUAAAGGUGAAAUAAAUAAAAACAGUUGAAAAAGAUGGUCAAUCAUCCACUGCUGCACCGGUAGCAUUAUACCACUACUAAACUGACUGCUAUGAGUGACUCAUGCUCAAGGUCAAGCCUGAACACUUACCUGUUUUAAGAGAAUUACAGUUAUUGAAUGAGUUUGUAACUGCUAUUGGCAGUUCUACCUCCACUACCACUAAUAUGAAAGUUACUGCUGUUUCGUCUACUGCUACCACUACAGCAACUACUGUUGAUGGGGCUUCUGUAAGCUAAGGGUAUUACAGUGUGUUUUGUUCAGUCUGUAAUUGCUUUGACUCUUGACCCGACCCACCGUGACGCAGACCCAGUGCUGACCAAGGAGGAUAUGGACGUCAUGACAGACUUUGAGCUGCACCGGCUCUGUCUGCAGUACCCAUCCGUACAAGACUAUCAGCUGAACACAGACAUGCUCCUGGACUCAGGAAAACUCAGCCUGCUCACACAGCUUCUGACCUCUCUCAAAAACAAGGUGUGAAAGUGGAGUGGAAGUUGAACAAAUGGAGACAGCUUCUUUAUUAUGCGCUAGUAUGCCUCACCUGUAAUGAACCAGCUAUAGCCUUCUCCAUCGCCCUCCCUGGGGGUUUCUCCCACCCCCAUAAAACCAGUCACUCUUUUAUUCCCCGUUCCUCUACCUUUGUCAGACACUCCAUCUCUUCCCUGCUCUCAAUCACAAUCAAUCUUUCCUUGGCUUUUCCUCUUCUAACAUGCAGUCAACCACAUUUCUCUCUGAUCCCUCCAGUCCAGUAGUCAUUAAUCACAGUGACUGUGAUCCUCUGUCAGGGGGAUAGAGUGGUGCUUUUCAGCCAGUUCACCAUGAUGCUGGACAUUCUAGGAGAUGUUCCUGAAGCACGUGAAGCAUCGCUACAUUCGAUUGGAUGGGUCAACACCCAUGUCUGACAGGUAGGAAUUGUUUGAUGAAUCAGGGCGUUGUACUGUGUCCCUAGUUUUUCAAAUUUGCUAACAUGUAUUGGUCAAAACUGAAGUCACAUUGUCAAAACUCUUCACACAGUCAGUGAAACAGAAGUGUAUGUGGACCAAUCUGUGAAUCAUUUUUCAUUGCUUUCACACAAAAUGCAUUCAAUGACCACAUUCUCCGAAAUCCAUUAACUCUUUUCUCAUUCAUACUCCACCACCUGCAAAACUAUAUAUUUGUAGCACAUGUUUUCAAAUGCUGUUUCCAAAACUGUUAAAAACACAUUCAAAACAGAAUGAUGGCAAAUGUCGUAUAUUUCUGCAGUAACCAGAUUGAAACAUAUAGAAAUUCUUAGCAGAAUAUUUAAUCAUUCUAAACACAGCUGAUGGCAAUUUCAGCUGAAAGCAUACUCACGUAUCCUGUUUUUAGUCUCGUUACCAAACAGACAAAAGAAGAUGGCUUCGGAAGGAUUUAGUUCGGAAACAUGAAUCAAGGAAGACAGGUUGGUGGGGAAAGAAGAGUGACAGGGAGAGGGAGAAUGCAUGGAGGACAAAGGAGAGGAAGACCAAGAGCGGUGGUCUCUGGCGAGAUAAGAGCCACAAUUAUUGACCAUGUUGUAAACCAGCCUCUCUUCUCUGAGAGAGGCUGGUUUAAAGUACAACCAAAUCUGCAGCAUUUAACAGUUUUAUCAAUAGUAUGAAUUUUCCGUAAAAACAACAGGUGAGAUGUGCAUCCUUCAAUGAUAAUUGAACUACAUAUUACAGUAUGUUCACAUUUUUACCUGUACUGACAUUUUGAAAUAUAUUGAUUGUUUUGUGUUUUUCAGUAGGAUCCAAGGGUUGCCUCCCACCGGAGGGAGAGGCAGAAUAUUAUCAGAUGCACAGGAAAUUGCCAUUGUUGACCACAAAACUGCUAGAAAUUUGGGACAGAGUGCUGGCAGACAAUAUCACUUUUGGGAAUGUGAAUACAGUCAGCACAACGACAAUUGCCAGAGUCCUAGAGAAACAUAAAAUAAGGGUGAAACAGUGAACGUGUGAAAGAACUCCGGUAUCAAUAUGUCCAGGGAAGUUGUCUGUUCAAUAACCAAAACAGGGUACAUACACAGCUAUGCAUAAUGUAAAGUACUGUAAAACUGUGGAUUUACUGUAUUUUACAGAGUAAUGGAGAUGGAAGUCAGGCAAACUGCACAUCGUUGUGCUGACCGUGGAGGUCCCAGGCCAGAGAGGAGCUAACAUCACAAUGUGUGCAGCACUGUCCAAUGAUGGUUUGCUGUGUCACAUACCACUCAUUGGCUCCUACAAUACAGAGAGGCUCAUUUAUUUUCUGGAUGACCUGCAUAAUCUACUUGUGCCAGUGGAGGAGAGAGGGGCAAGAAACUCUCUUACCUUCGUUGUUGUGUGGGAUAAUGUGAUAUUCCACCACUCUGCUGCAGUCACAGACUGGUUUGAUGCACAUCCCAGGAUGUCAGUACUAUUCCUGUCUCCAUACUCCCCCUUCCUAAACCCCAUAGAGGAGUUUUUCUCAGCGUGGAGGAGGAAGGUUUAUGACCACCAUCCACAUGACCAGAUGUCCUUACUGGAUGCCAUGAAUGCAGGGGUGAGGAGACACUUCUCCUGAAGACUGCCAGGGUGUGGAGACACUUCUCCUGAAGACUGCCAGGGUGUGGAGACACUUCUCCUGAAGACCGCCAGGGUGUGGAGACACUUCUCCUGAAGACUGCCAGGGUGUGGAGACACUUCUCCUGAAGACUGCCAGGGUGUGGAGACACUUCUCCUGAAGACCGCCAGGGUGUGGAGACACUUCUCCUGAAGACUGCCAGGGUGUGGAGACACUUCUCCUGAAGACUGCCAGGGUGUGGAGACACUUCUCCUGAAGACUGCCAGGGUGUGGAGACACAUCUCCUGAAGACUGCCAGGGUUGGAUUAGACAUUCCAGAAGAUACUUUCCAAGAUGCAUCGCCAGAGAAGACAUAAGAUGUGAUGUUGAUGAGAACUUGUGGCCAAAUGCAGGAGAGAGGGAGAACUAGAGCCUUCACAGUACUGUACAGUAUGAGUGAUUAUACAAUACAAAAUCAAAUCAAAUUUUAUUUGUCACAUACACAUGGUUAGCAGAUGUUAAUGCAAGUGUAGCGAAAUGCUUGUGCUCUUAGUUCCGACAAUGCAGUAAUAACCAACGAGUAAUCUAACCUAACAAUUCCACAACUACUGCCUUAUACACACAAGUGUAAAGGGAUAAAGAAUAUGUACAUAAAGAUAUAUGAAUGAGUGAUGGUACAUCUUUAUGUACUAGCCACUUUAAACAAUGACACU
Long non-coding RNA from Oncorhynchus keta (chum salmon), 8347 nucleotides. RefSeq lists it as uncharacterized. The transcript has 4 exons. The record is from RefSeq and is a predicted model, not a curated record. Lineage: Eukaryota; Metazoa; Chordata; Actinopteri; Salmoniformes; Salmonidae.